Molecule: ribosomal RNA, 800 nt
Filed under: Bacillus sp. JSM 2155014
Lineage: Bacteria; Bacillati; Bacillota; Bacilli; Caryophanales; Bacillaceae
Description: bacterial SSU rRNA
Rfam family: Bacterial small subunit ribosomal RNA
Source: RNAcentral
GGGGGGGGGAACGUGCCCGCAUGCAGUCGAGCGGACAGAUGGGAGCUUGCUCCCUGAUGUUAGCGGCGGACGGGUGAGUAACACGUGGGUAACCUGCCUGUAAGACUGGGAUAACUCCGGGAAACCGGGGCUAAUACCGGAUGCUUGUUUGAACCGCAUGGUUCAGACAUAAAAGGUGGCUUCGGCUACCACUUACAGAUGGACCCGCGGCGCAUUAGCUAGUUGGUGAGGUAACGGCUCACCAAGGCGACGAUGCGUAGCCGACCUGAGAGGGUGAUCGGCCACACUGGGACUGAGACACGGCCCAGACUCCUACGGGAGGCAGCAGUAGGGAAUCUUCCGCAAUGGACGAAAGUCUGACGGAGCAACGCCGCGUGAGUGAUGAAGGUUUUCGGAUCGUAAAGCUCUGUUGUUAGGGAAGAACAAGUGCCGUUCAAAUAGGGCGGCACCUUGACGGUACCUAACCAGAAAGCCACGGCUAACUACGUGCCAGCAGCCGCGGUAAUACGUAGGUGGCAAGCGUUGUCCGGAAUUAUUGGGCGUAAAGGGCUCGCAGGCGGUUUCUUAAGUCUGAUGUGAAAGCCCCCGGCUCAACCGGGGAGGGUCAUUGGAAACUGGGGAACUUGAGUGCAGAAGAGGAGAGUGGAAUUCCACGUGUAGCGGUGAAAUGCGUAGAGAUGUGGAGGAACACCAGUGGCGAAGGCGACUCUCUGGUCUGUAACUGACGCUGAGGAGCGAAAGCGUGGGGAGCGAACAGGAUUAGAUACCCUGGUAGUCCACGCCGUAAACGAUGAGUGCUA